RNAcentral lists this ribosomal RNA (947 nucleotides) under Lactifluus aff. glaucescens LTH 274. RNAcentral describes it as "eukaryotic LSU rRNA". It matches the Rfam family "Eukaryotic large subunit ribosomal RNA", at positions 38 to 959 of the family's 3401-position model. The record is from RNAcentral. Lineage: Eukaryota; Fungi; Basidiomycota; Agaricomycetes; Russulales; Russulaceae.
GCAUAUCAAUAAGCGGAGGAAAAGAAACUAACAAGGAUUCCCCUAGUAACUGCGAGUGAAGCGGGAUAAGCUCAAAUUUAAAAUCUGGUGGUCUUUUGGUCAUCCGAGUUGUAAUUUAGAGAAGCGUCUUCCGCGCCGGACCGUGCACAAGUCUCCUGGAAUGGAGCGUCAUAGAGGGUGAGAAUCCCGUCUUUGGCAUGGACACCCGGGGCUUCUGUGAUGCGCUCUCGAAGAGUCGAGUUGUUUGGGAAUGCAGCUCAAAAUGGGUGGUGAACUCCAUCUAAAGCUAAAUAUUGGCGAGAGACCGAUAGCGAACAAGUACCGUGAGGGAAAGAUGAAAAGCACUUUGGAAAGAGAGUGAAACAGUACGUGAAAUUGUUGAAAGGGAAACGCUUGAAGUCAGUCGCGUUGACCGAGACUCAGCCUUGCCUCGGCUUGGUGUACUUCUCGGCUGACGGGCCAGUAUCAAUUUUGUCCCUCGGAUAAUGGCAAGGGAAAGGUGGCACCUUUACCGGUGUGUUAUAGUCUCUUGUCGCAUGCGAGGGGCGGGAUUGAGGAACUCAGCACGCACCUUUUGGUGUCGGGGCCUUUUGGCCCACGUUACGUGCUUAGGAUGCUGGCGUAAUGGCUUUAAACGACCCGUCUUGAAACACGGACCAAGGAGUCUAACAUGCCYGCGAGUGUUCGGGUGGAAAACCCGUGCGCGUAAUGAAAGUGAAAGUUGGGACCUCUGUCGUGGAGGGCACCGACGCCCGGACCAGACCUUCUGUGACGGAUCUGCGGUAGAGCGUGCAUGUUGGGACCCGAAAGAUGGUGAACUAUGCCUGAAUAGGGUGAAGCCAGAGGAAACUCUGGUGGAGGCUCGUAGCGAUUCUGACGUGCAAAUCGAUCGUCAAAUUUGGGUAUAGGGGCGAAAGACUAAUCGAACCAUCUAGUAGCUGGUCUGC